Molecule: ribosomal RNA, 723 nt
Filed under: Erysiphe quercicola
Lineage: Eukaryota; Fungi; Ascomycota; Leotiomycetes; Helotiales; Erysiphaceae
Description: eukaryotic LSU rRNA
Rfam family: Eukaryotic large subunit ribosomal RNA
Source: RNAcentral
UUGACCUCGAAUCAGGUAGGAAUACCCGCUGAACUUAAGCAUAUCAAUAAGCGGAGGAAAAGAAACCAACCGGGAUUACCUCAGUAACGGCGAGUGAAGCGGUAACAGCUCAAAUUUGAAAUCUGGCUCUUCCGGAGUCCGAGUUGUAAUUUGUAGAAGAUGCUUUGGGUUGUGGGUUCGGCCUAAGUUCCUUGGAACAGGACGUCAUAGAGGGUGAGAAUCCCGUAUGUGGCCGAGGCCCGCGCCUAUGUAAAGCUCUUUCAACGAGUCGAGUUGUUUGGGAAUGCAGCUCAAAAUGGGUGGUAAAUUUCAUCUAAAGCUAAAUAUGGGCCAGAGACCGAUAGCGCACAAGUAGAGUGAUCGAAAGAUGAAAAGCACUUUGGAAAGAGAGUUAAACAGUACGUGAAAUUGUUGAAAGGGAAGCGCUUGCAACCAGACUUGGGCGCUGCCGAUCACCUUGAGUUUUCUCGAGUGCACUCGACAGCGCACAGGCCAGCAUCGGUUCGGGUGGCUGGAUAAAGGCCGUAGGAAUGUGGCUCUCUUCGGGGAGUGUUAUAGCCUACGGUGCCAUGCAGCCCAGCCGGACCGAGGACCGCGCCUUCGGGCUAGGAUGCUGGCGUAAUGGUUGUAAGCGACCCGUCUUGAAACACGGACCAAGGAGUCUAACAUCUAUGCGAGUGUUUGGGUGGUAAACCCAUACGCGGAAUGAAAGUGAACGUAGGU